AGAAUUUUCAUUUUCUAAGUUUUUUUUUUGUUCUACAACAAAAUGGGAUGUGAAUUUUUUUUUUCCUUUUGGAUUCCCGCUUUCAAUCAUUUAAGGAAAUUAAGAAAAACCAUCUUCCUAAACCCAAGAUCUCUCAAAAAAAAUCCCUAGCUCACCAAGAACCCAGAAAACCUCCCACUAUCUCUCAAAAAAAACCCAACUCACCAAGAACCCAGAAAACCUAACUUCAAUUCACAGAGCUCAAACACCGCUUCUCCAUCGCUAAUUCUUCUGCGUCGUCAAUUUCUUCUCCAUCUCUAAUUUCUUCUACUUUUGUAGUUGAUUGGAACUUCCGCCGCUAACGCAACCACCAUCUCCACCACCACGUACAACCACCGUCUCCCCUACCAUGUACAACCACCGUUCUGUCGCCAGUUCUUCAGCUCUUGUGAUUUUAGGUAAUUGUUCUUCACCUCUUCUUACCCUUUUCCCCUUUUUAUAAUUUUACAAUUUUCUAUCCCGACAUUAUAAAUUAUAACUUAGUUUAUAAUUGUCAUAAGGAGCCUGUUUUAUCAGUUUAGCAAAUUUUCCUGUAAGAUCGACAAACUUAUUUUCAAUGAAUAAUUUGUGUUUGAUUGAUAAUUUGGUUGAUAUUUCAUCUGGGGUCAUAUUGUUAUUUGCAACUAAUCGAAUGAUGGUAGUACAAUAUUUUGUUGCAAUUAAUUGAAUUAUUGAGUAGAGAAUUUAAAUACGAAGUAUAAAAUUAAAUCUUGAAGCCUUGGUCCAUACUUCAUAAUCAAUAAAAAACGAAUUGUGGUGUUUCUUGUGUGUGAGGUUGGCUGGUUUCUUGGUUACCUAGAAAGGUGGGAACUUCUUCAGUAAUAUAUAAACAGACCCAAAAUAAAUAAGAACAUUUUUCUGUCAAACAACAACCUUUUUUUAUCUACACCAAACUACCUUAGCAAUUAGCAUCCCGCCCUAAGCGGGGUAUAUGGUAUGAUUUCAGGUGAUUUUGAAUUUUCUAAUGUGCACUGUGAGUCUGUGACACAGUCUUAAGCUCUAAACUCAUAGUUUCUGAAAUCUCCACAAGAGAAAAUGUUUAUACAAGAGCAAUGGUAGUUAAUUUAGUAGGGAAAAUUUAGUGGGAACAACUGACCAGUUGAAUUUGCAAUGGCUGAUAAGAUGAUAAGGGAAUGAGGGUAACUGAAAGCAUAAUUGAGAAUAAAUAAAUCAUAAGGUUGACUAAGUUGUGUUGGUUUCAGUCAGUCUGCUCUUGUUGGUUGUUAACCUUAGGUGACUAGGUGGCUGUUGAAAGCUUUGCCACCUAGCAGCAAAGUCAUGCUUAAGAAUCUGCAGAAUAUAAACUAAUUAGCUUCCAUAAAACAGAAAGUACAAAUGGGAGGAACCAUUCAAUCGUCAUCCUAGAUAAUUUCCAAUAAAAUGAACCCCCACUCAUAUAUUAAAAUCCCUUUCCAGCAACAGAACGUAACUGACAAACAAAAGAUAGUGAAGGGAUUUACGAACUAAACCACAAGACUAAGGGGUUACAGAAAAAAGUCCUGUUAAAAGUGAUCACCCUAAACAUGACAAGAAUAUUAUUAAAGAGAAAUUCUUUAAGAAACCACCACCCAAAUAUCUAUUCUUAUGUAUGUUGUUAGUCAGAACAACAACUAUAAUUUUUUUUUAAAGUAGCAUGUAACAAUUCUCAAAACUCGUCUGCAGAACAUACUUACAUUGCAGGUUAUACAAUUGUCUCCACACAGUAUAAUGUUAACUUUGAAAUAUUGAACGAAGUAAUCAGAACCAUGAAAGGAAUUCAAAAUCACAAAGGAAACUCCUAGCCAUCAAAAGUCACUCUUCACUUUAUUCCAUGUGGACAAUAGUUACCCAGGGCAUGAGACUGAAAACCAUUAACAAUCUUUAACAUAGAAUCAAUCAUAUCUGAACCAGUAUGACGUUUAAAUUGUUGACAUAUAACCUUUCCUGCCUAAAAGAAGCCCUGUCUCUUGAAAGCUUUCAUGUUAAAAAAAUAAAUGAAUUCUAAUCAGUGAUUAUUAAGUCAAAAAGCACCAAGAACAAAGACAAUAACUAGAAGCUUAGAAAGCUACCAAUGAAAUAAGUGGAUAAUUAAAAAAUAAAACAGCUGAAUAUAGCAAAUAAAUGUGUCAUCAACACCUGACCAAUAACAUCAGAGAUAUAAUUUUUCUUUCCGUCCCGCUGUUCAACAGGCAAUGCAUUCCAUCGGUAUUUAAUUACACCUUCCAAAACCUGGAAGAAUACAGAUAGGACAAGAUUCUUAGAUUUAAGAAUAUAAAUCCAGACAUCAUAUACCAAAACAAGGGUUUAACAGAAAAAAAAAUUAUAACAGAGUUACAGCUUAUCAAGUUAAGUUAAGAAGAAAAUUUAUAGUUUGUAUGAUGUGAAGACCUGCAGAACCACCUGAACUCAGUGCAAUAAAAAUGACGUUAACAAUGACGUUAUAAUUUUCAACAUGAACACAAUAUCUUCUGUUGAGCGCAAUCCUAACACCACAUUGCACUUCUGUUGAAACAGUCGGGCAAAAAAAAUCAUAGGUAAUCACCCACUGUUGUGUUGAGGUUAGAAUAUUGCGUAUAGUCAGACCUCAAAAUAUUCCGCGUAAUCAGACCUCAGAAUACUGCAUAUUAUCAGACCUCGUACUAGGGGGACAUGUUGUCAUGUAUUGUUGUUGGCCUUCAGACCCUUAAUAAUCAAUGAGAAGGUAUGCACUCAGUUUCAUUCUCUAAAAUCUUCACUACAGUAGAUAAUAUAAGCCUUCUUGUUGCAUCUGUGUACGGAUCAGUCGUUUUUGCUCGAGGGAUGCGGCGGCCAUGGCAGUAGUAUGAAACUACGCCUCACUUGAACUCAAACCUUUCAUCGAAGAGAGUUCUGUGAGCAAAUUUGGUAUGAAAUUGUUGAUUGAUUAUCUCCGAGAUGACUUGUGAGAGUCUAAACCCACCUGAGGGUGAUAAAGAACCAUUUUAGGAGGUUGAUCCGACUGGCUGGUUUGGCCGAUAUCCUGACCUUCUUGGAGCUAGAGCUGUGAAGACUGCAGAUCUGUUCUCACUCCCACACGUAAUAGAAAACACUGCAGAUUUGUUCUCACUCCCAGCACCCCGGCCACUAGAAAGUACUUUCCUCAAGUUCCUGCCACUUAUUCUCAAGCGAUGAUUGACGAAACACGGGAUACUUUGGUUACAUACUUUUUCAAGCAAAGAUUGAUGAAGAUGAAGAAAAUGAUAUGCUCGACGUUGAUCAUGAAUGACCUUUUUAGCUAGUACAUAUUGAAACUUUCUAACAAAUGUUUUGGGAAUCUCGUAGCAAGUUAAUACAUUUGAAGUACUUUUUUAGAUUUGAACUUGUGAUUAGAGUUUGGAGAAUGUUAUAUUACAUUAGUUUUAUUUACUCUAUUGCUUUGGAGAACAAGAAGUUGGUAUAUUGGUCGGUUUGGAGAAUUUUUAUGCAUAUAAUAUAGAGUUGAUGGAUUAUUAAUUACCAUAA
Molecule: long non-coding RNA, 3498 nt
Organism: Spinacia oleracea (spinach)
Lineage: Eukaryota; Viridiplantae; Streptophyta; Magnoliopsida; Caryophyllales; Amaranthaceae
Exons: 3
Source: RefSeq, a predicted model, not a curated record